Molecule: ribosomal RNA, 383 nt
Filed under: uncultured bacterium
Lineage: Bacteria
Description: bacterial SSU rRNA
Rfam family: Bacterial small subunit ribosomal RNA
Source: RNAcentral
GACGAACGCUGGCGGCGCGCUUAACACAUGCAAGUCGAGCGAGAAUCAGAGCUUCGGCUCUGAGGACAGCGGCGAACGGGUGAGUAACACGUGGGUAAUCUGCCCUCGAUUCUGGGAUAGCCCGGGGAAACUCGGAUUAAUACCGGAUAGCCUUUCGUGCUUUCGGGCGUGAAAGAAAAGGUAGCUUCGGCCUCCGAUCGAGGAUGAGCCCGCGGUGGAUUAGCUUGUUGGCGGGGUAAUGGCCCACCAAGGCGACGAUCCAUAGCUGGUCUGAGAGGACGAUCAGCCACACUGGGACUGAGACACGGCCCAGACUCCUACGGGAGGCAGCAGUGGGGAAUCUUGCGCAAUGGGCGAAAGCCUGACGCAGCGACGCCGCGUGC